GGGGACGUUACGGAUUCGACGGGGAUAGGUCGAGCUCGGGUUGCGAGUCGAGGCGACGUCUCGUUAAACGUCAUUUGCCUAAAUAUAACUGGCGAAUCUAACGAUAACCUAGCUGUAGCUGCAUAAGCAGUCUAUAGCUGAUCCUUCCUGGCAUUGCCCGUGUGGCAGAUGAAGGGUCUCAAACUGAAACGGGCUACGCGUUUUUCCUCCGCCUGAGGAAAAACGAAGAGACUAAUCAGGCUAGCUCCUCGGAAGCCUGUUGAUAGGCUGAAGAGGAAGCGAAUUAUAAUAUAUCAACUACGCUUGUAGAAGCCCGAGUGCCGAUAUCUCCGGACGUGGGUUCGACUCCCACCGUCUCCACCA
Non-coding RNA from Halobacillus halophilus DSM 2266, 363 nucleotides. It matches the Rfam family "transfer-messenger RNA". Rfam says of the family: Bacterial tmRNA, also known as 10Sa RNA or SsrA, is named for its dual tRNA and mRNA-like properties. The record is from Rfam. NCBI's taxonomy places the organism in Bacteria, Bacillati, Bacillota, Bacilli, Caryophanales, Bacillaceae.